AGCCCAUAGGAGCGGAUGCCUGCUUCUAUGGGCUGGAAAGCUCCCAGAAACUGCUUCCUCCCCUCCCUCCCUCAACCGCGCAUGUGCUCCCAGGCCCUGCCCGCCUGCAUUGAAAAGAGGACUGAGGGAAGAAAGGAAGAGAAGAAGGAAGGGGGAGAGAGAGAGGAAGAGGAGGAGAAGUUUGCAUCAUGUCACAUGAGACAGUCAAAAGGAACUUCUGAGCAAUUGCUCGGGCUGGAUUUUCCGCACCUUGCAAUGCUUUCCUCUGACUGGCAUUUCAGAUCAAUAACUUCUGAAAAGAAGAGGAAUUAACUCCAGGGGUAUUUUCCCAUGACUGAUUCUAUGCGAUGGGAAUGAUAACUACCUGAUGUAAUCUCUCGUGCUUUGUUGCGGACAAGGCUGCAGACGAUCUGCUCAACCAGGAGUGACAGCACAAGCCACAAAUACUGGCAAUAGAGAACCGCACAAAAGAAAGAGGAGGAAUCCAACUCCACCACUUGCCACAUGCCUCGGAGGUCAGAUCAAGCCACAAAGGGAGUGACUGCUCUUUGCACACACCAUCAGCCCUGUCCACAUGAUUUACAAGCAGAAAAUACUGAAGGUAACAUUCUGCAUAUGGGAUACUGAAAAAACACCUAGCAUUAGAUGUCUUAAAAUCAUCCAGAAUUAAUAAGUCAGUGUUAACAAGCAGGAGAUCAGAGAAAGAACUGCAGAGAAACUAUUCAGAUCGGGAAGGCUGAUAGAUGCUGUGUCCCUCAUUUAUUCCAUGUGUAAAAUGGUUGUUCAGGAUUGACAAUUUACAGUGACAAGGGGCAAUCAUGACAGAAGAAAAGGGCACAGGAGGCUAUAGGAUAAAUAUAUUAUUUGUAUUAUUAUUAGCAUUGUUGCUAUCAUGAUCAUCUCAUCAUCAUUGUCAUCACUACGCCUUUUCCAGAGUUUGGAAAUACAAAUAAAGUUUACAAAAAAAGAUAAAAAGCACAUAAUUAAAAAGGUGAUUAAACUACCAAAAUGUAAAACCACUUUAAAACAAUUUUAAAAAUAGAGAAAGUCCAUUCCUUUGGGGAUUAUAAGUCAAGUCACCUGAGAAUCUAAUGGCCUAAUUUAUACUGUUCAGUUCUCAUGCAUGUAACAUGUCGCUAUCCCCAAGAGUGCAGGAUUCUAGAAAUUUGAUGUUUUAAGCAAAACAGAAGAAAUUUUUGAUGUUCCUGUCAGAUCAAAUGUCCUUCUAGAGAUUGCAGUUUGGGAGAAAGGUUCAUGAUUCUGAUUUCUGCUCCUAUAUGUAAAUUUCCAAAGAACAUUAGAGUUUCACAUGCUCUCCACAUAAAAAGGUCUCACAGCUAGCCCCUCCCCUGGAUAUCCACAUAUUGCCAAACAGGAAUACUAUAAGUGAAGCCUAUUGGUAUAUCCAUUGAUUUCCAUAUAUCCUGGAUUCAGUUGCUUUCCUCUAGAGAGAUGGUUGUUGGGCAAUAUGUUUCUGGACUGUUGGGAAAGGGAAAAACACUAAAGACAAGAAGCAACAAUGAAAGGGUCUUUCAUAGCCCUCCAAGUGGUAGGGAAGCAACAAUCCUGACUGAAUUUAUCGUUUUAGCCCACGCAUGGGCAAACUUUGGCCCUCCAGGUGUUUUGGACUUCAGCUGGGGAGUUGAAAUCCCAAAGACCUGGCGGGCCAAAGUUUGCCCAUGCCUGUUUUAGCCUCUAUCACACACAUAGAAAUCUUGAAGAAACCUCCCCUCUCACUUGACCAAUCUUCAGCAGGAUCAUUUACAUAAGGAAAAAAUUCAAGGCUGUUCUCCGGUGACAUUGGCUUCCUGCUCAUGUAUGAGUAUUGCAUGCACACACUUGCAUGUGUGUGUCUAUAUGCACAUAUUUGUGAUCCCGGCAUCCUUGGGGAUGCACAGCUCAAUGCUGAAUGAGACCACUAUGAGAAUUUGUAGUAUGGUGUUCCGAAGGAAGAUGCUACCCUUGCUGUGCUGAAAACACCCAGUUCUAUUUCUUCUCAUUACCUGCAUACGCAGUGAAGCCGUGGGAGCACUGAACCACAAUACGCAGAAUUAAUAAUGUGCUGGAUGAAGACCAAUAAAUGAAAGCCAACAAGACUGAGGUGUUUUAAUAUCUAAGAAUGCUAUCCCUCAGUAUUCACAUGGACUUGGUUCCACAGAUUUCCAAAUCUAUAGAUGCUUAGGUUCAUCCUGCCAACCUUGCAUGUCAGCUCCUUCCUUCCUUCUUUUUCCUUCUCUCUCCCCGCUCCACCUCAGCAUCUUCUUUGCCUUCAGUAGAGGAGUACUACAGAAUAGCUUCCACUAUAGUCCUCUCACAAGGCCACCAUAAAGUGUAAGGGGUGGGGGAGAUGAGAUAUGCUGCUUUUCAUAGAAUCAUAGAGUUGGAAGAGACCUCACGGGCCAUUCAGUCCAACCCCCUGCUAAGGAGCAGGAAAAUCACACUCAAAGCACCCCUGACAGAUGGCCAUUCAGCCUCUGGUUAAAAGCUUCCAAAGAAGGAGCCUCCACCACACUCCAGAGCAGGGAGUUCCACUGCCAAAAAUCUCUAACAGUGAGAAAGUUCUUCCUAAUGUUCAGGUGGAAUCUCCUUUCCUGAAGUUCUGCGUCCUAGUCUGCAGAGCAGCAGAAAACAAGCUUGCUCCCUCUUCCCUAUGACUUUCCCUCACAUAUUUAUACAUGGCCAUCUGUAUCUUUGUAUUUCAUUUUUGUGCCUAAGUGUAGUAUCUUGCAUUUGUCCCUGUUGAACUCCAUUUUGUUAGUUUCAGCCCAUCUCUCUAAUCCGUUAAGAUCGUUUUGAAUUCUG
RNAcentral lists this long non-coding RNA (2802 nucleotides) under Anolis carolinensis (green anole). Its description in RNAcentral is "lncRNA (ENSACAG00000043398.1)". Lineage: Eukaryota; Metazoa; Chordata; Lepidosauria; Squamata; Anolidae. The record is from RNAcentral.